AAUAUUUUGGCAUAGUGGUUAUGCAUUUGGCUGCUAACUGAAAGGUUGGCAGUUUGAAUCCACCAGGUGCUC
Molecule: transfer RNA, 72 nt
Filed under: Loxodonta africana (African savanna elephant)
Lineage: Eukaryota; Metazoa; Chordata; Mammalia; Proboscidea; Elephantidae
Rfam family: tRNA
About the family: Transfer RNA (tRNA) molecules are approximately 80 nucleotides in length. Their secondary structure includes four short double-helical elements and three loops (D, anti-codon, and T loops). Further hydrogen bonds mediate the characteristic L-shaped molecular structure. tRNAs have two regions of fundamental functional importance: the anti-codon, which is responsible for specific mRNA codon recognition, and the 3' end, to which the tRNAs corresponding amino acid is attached (by aminoacyl-tRNA synthetases). tRNAs cope with the degeneracy of the genetic code in two manners: having more than one tRNA (with a specific anti-codon) for a particular amino acid; and 'wobble' base-pairing, i.e. permitting non-standard base-pairing at the 3rd anti-codon position.
Source: Rfam by way of RNAcentral